This 484-nucleotide ribosomal RNA is filed under the name uncultured bacterium. Its description in RNAcentral is "partial 16S ribosomal RNA". It matches the Rfam family "Bacterial small subunit ribosomal RNA", at positions 29 to 507 of the family's 1533-position model. The record is from RNAcentral.
AUUGAACGCUGGCGGCAUGCUUUACUCAUGCAAGUCGAACGGUAACAGGUUGCUUGCACCGCUGACGAGUGGCGAACGGGUGAGUAAUGCAUCGGAAUGUACCGUGUAAUGGGGGAUAGCUCGGCGAAAGCCGUAUUAAUACCGCAUACGCCCUGAGGGGGAAAGUGGGGGACCGAAAGGCCUCACGUUAUACGAGCAGCCGAUGUCUGAUUAGCUAGUUGGUGAGGUAAAGGCUCACCAAGGCGUCGAUCAGUAGCGGGUCUGAGAGGAUGAUCCGACACACGGGGAAUGAGACACGGCACAGCCUCCUACGGGAGGCAGCAGUGGGGAAUUUUGGACAAUGGGCGGAAGAGUGAUACAGCAAUGACGAGUGUCUGAAGAAGGCCUUAGGGUUGUAAAGGACUUUUGUCCGGGAGCAAAGCCUAGGGGUAAAUAACCGAUGGGUAAGAGAGUACCGGAAGAAUAAGCACCGGCUAACUACGUG